UUCCAGACUCCUACGGGAGGCAGCAGUGAGGAAUAUUGGUCAAUGGGCUUACGCCUGAACCAGCCAAGUCGCGUGAGGGAAGACUGCCCUAUGGGUUGUAAACCUCUUUUGUCAGGGAGCAAUUGGCGCUACGUGUAGCGUUAUCGAGAGUACCUGAAGAAAAAGCAUCGGCUAACUCCGUGCCAGCAGCCGCGGUAAUACGGAGGAUGCGAGCGUUAUCCGGAUUUAUUGGGUUUAAAGGGUGCGUAGGCGGGCAUUUAAGCCGGCGGUCAAAUGUCGGGGCUCAACCCCGACCUGCCGUCGGAACUGGGUGCCUUGAGUGGGCGAGAAGUAUGCGGAAUGCGUGGUGUAGCGGUGAAAUGCAUAGAUAUCACGCAGAACUCCGAUUGCGAAGGCAGCAUACCGGCGCCCAACUGACGCUGAAGCACGAAAGCGUGGGUAUCGAACAGGAUUAGAUACCCCAGUACG
Molecule: ribosomal RNA, 468 nt
Filed under: uncultured bacterium
Lineage: Bacteria
Description: bacterial SSU rRNA
Rfam family: Bacterial small subunit ribosomal RNA
Source: RNAcentral